Molecule: ribosomal RNA, 253 nt
Filed under: uncultured bacterium
Lineage: Bacteria
Description: partial 16S ribosomal RNA
Rfam family: Bacterial small subunit ribosomal RNA
Source: RNAcentral
UACGUAGGGGGCUAGCGUUGUCCGGAAUCAUUGGGCGUAAAGAGCGUGUAGGCGGCCCGGUAAGUCCGCUGUGAAAGCCGGGGGCUCAACCCUCGAAUGCCGGUGGAUACUGUCGGGCUAGAGUGCGGAAGAGGCGAGUGGAAUUCCUGGUGUAGCGGUGAAAUGCGCAGAUAUCAGGAGGAACACCAAUUGCGAAGGCAGCUCGCUGGGACGUAACUGACGCUGAGGCGCGAAAGCGUGGGGAGCAAACAGG